RNAcentral lists this long non-coding RNA (524 nucleotides) under Prunus persica (peach). Its description in RNAcentral is "long non-coding RNA (PPER_LNC000180)". Lineage: Eukaryota; Viridiplantae; Streptophyta; Magnoliopsida; Rosales; Rosaceae. The record is from RNAcentral.
UUUUUCUGAUGAAAAAAUUGAUUCCAUUCCACUUAAAUGAAAACAAACAGAAAAGGGCAAAAAAAAGAAGAAAAGAUUUCUAUAAUUCCAGAAAUUAAAUUACGUAUGCAGAUAGGAGACAAAGUGUUAGUUAUCGAAUUCACCCCAUAAAAAAAAAAAAUUCCGAGUUUAACCUUACUUUCCUUGAGCGUUUUCAUUGCAAUCUCUCUAACAAAUUUCUCUUCUUUCCUCCUCCUGCUCUUCGGCAAACGUUGUCCAUUUGCUCUCUUUCUUCUCUCUUCUUUCCUUCCAUGAGCCAAAGAAACUGAAGCCAAGACUCCAUGCAUGCCCAUUUGCUCUGUCAUUGUUCUUCUUCGGGUACCCAUACACCACAUCAACCCUAAGAAAGCACUUCACACACAUUAAUUACCAUGAUCAGCACCCAAACUCUCUUGUAUAUAAUUCCCAUUAACUUGAAAAACAAACAACAAAAGCAAAGGAAUUAGAGAAACACCAGCUUUCUUCUCUACCCUCGCAGUUGCUUC